Lutra lutra (Eurasian river otter) is the source of this 460-nucleotide long non-coding RNA. RefSeq lists it as uncharacterized. Lineage: Eukaryota; Metazoa; Chordata; Mammalia; Carnivora; Mustelidae. The record is from RefSeq and is a predicted model, not a curated record. The transcript has 2 exons.
GGAGUUCCGACCCGGAAACCCCCGUGCCCUUCUAGGACUCCCGAGCCCCGCGUGAGGUGAAGCGCUGGGAGAGCGACUUCCCCCUCCUCUUCGCACCGCUUCUCUUUUGUUUCCGAUCUUCGUCAGUCCAACAGGCGAUGGGGCUUCCCUGCUGUGUUGUUAUAGAGCAUCUGUUCCAGCUGCAGUCAUGAUUUAUUCUCUAGCUGGCUCCACAAGGGCAAAUCCUUUUUGACCCUCAUCUAUCUGUACCUCCCAAACCAGUGUUCUCCUCGCAGUAAGGACCUAGCAUCUGCUGCGUGACGGAAGGAGGGAAUGAGCGGUGCACAAACCGGCGUGGACAGCCGGACAGCCAGCUGUGCCACGUAAUCCACCCUAAAACAAUCCCAAUCCCAAUCCCCACUCCUUUGGGUGAAUGGUUAACAAGUGCAUCGAUAUUAAUAAAGUCCAUAGAGGAUUCAGA